AUUGAACGCUGGCGGCAGGCCUAACACAUGCAAGUCGAACGAGUGGCGGACGGGUGAGUAAUGUCUGGGAAACUGCCUGAUGGAGGGGGAUAACUACUGGAAACGGUAGCUAAUACCGCAUACCAUCAGAUGUGCCCAGAUGGGAUUAGCUUGUUGGUGGGGUAACGGCUCACCAAGGCGACGAUCCCUAGCUGGUCUGAGAGGAUGACAAGCAACACGGGAAAUGAGACACGGUCCAGACUCCUACGGAAGGCAGAAUGGGGGAAUAUUGCACAAUGGGCGAAAGCCUGAUGCAGCCAGGCCGCGUGUAUGAAGAGGGCCUUCGGGUUGGAAAGUACGUUCAGCGGGGAGGCGUUAACCGCAGAAGAAGCACCGGCGAACUCCGGGCCAGCAGAGGCGGUAAUAC
RNAcentral lists this ribosomal RNA (406 nucleotides) under uncultured bacterium. RNAcentral describes it as "partial 16S ribosomal RNA". It matches the Rfam family "Bacterial small subunit ribosomal RNA", at positions 29 to 526 of the family's 1533-position model. The record is from RNAcentral.